GGGGGGGGCAGAGAACGUAGAGUACAAGUCAAAGAGGCACGAAGAGAGGGGCCGAUCACGGAGGGAGUUUCGGAAGGUUUUGGAGACUCCGCCGAAGAAUUGGCUGGCUGUUGUGCGAGCUUUUCAGAGGGUUGACAAGAAGUAUUGGAAUUGCCUAAGACCAGUUUCUGAAUCAAGCACUCAAACUCAGCCUAUCAGUGAAAGGAGCAAGAUCGAAAAGACUUAUCGAUCAACAUUUGCAUGUAUCUGAUAGGACUUAAUUUUAUACUUAUUUUUAUCUAGUUUCGGUCUUAACUUUGUGUUAUUUUUCCUACUUAUUGUGAGUUUUUAUGAAUUUUACAUAAUUUGGAUUUCUUUUUGUGGGAAACAAGCCAGAUUCAAAGAUUUGGGCUUUAAAGAAGAUUAUAUAAAUUAAUUUAUAAUAUUAAUUUCAAAAUCAACAUUAUUGAAAAUUAAUAUAAUAAUUUCUUCUCAACCCUAAUCCCUGCUUUUUCUCUUCUUCCCUUACCUAAUCCCUGCCUUUUCUCAUCUUCCCUUAUCUUCCGAUUUCCUCCUUUUAAUAUUAAUUUUCAAUAAUAUUAAUUUUAAAAUUAAUAUUAUAAUUUAAUUUAUAAUAUCUUCUUUAAAGCCCAAGUCUUUGAAUUUAUUUCCUUUGCUUGUUUUCUCCAAAAAGAAAUUCUAAUUAUGUAAAAUUCAUAUAAACUCACACCUUAAGUAAGAAAAAUAGCACAAAGUUAAGACCGAAAAUAGAUAAAAAUGUGCAUAAAAUUAAGCCCUAUCAGUACGCAACCUAUCCCUUUGUAUGAGAGACACCAACUGCAAUCACAAAAUCUGGAAGAAGACAACAUGAAUCCAUCACUUGAACACACAUAUAGUGAAGGCUAUGUUCCAGCUGAAGCUCCUAGACUUGGUGAUGAUCCACCUUCUCCGAUCCAGAAAGUUUCACUCAGCAACUCAUUAUACAAUUUAGGUGAUCUCAAGAAACCAAAACCUGGAAGUGCAAGUAACAUGCCCUAUAGUUCAAGAAUUGAACUGAAUAAUCAUCAAAACAAUUUGUUGUUGGCCGGAAAUACUUCUGCCAGCCUCUUCAGUGGUACAAAUUUUACCCAAAUGUGUCAACAAAAAGAGCACAUUUCUACUGCAACUGGUGUUCUUGACUCUAGCAACAGUAAUUAUAUUGGGCUCGUGGCUAGGCAUCAACUUAUUUCGAUUUUAACAGUGGCCUGAUGAACAAAAUGCAAUAUAAAAGUAUCAAUCCUGUGCCAACUUUGAGUGGCAAUCCUGUGAAUGAUCACUUGGGCCAAGAAGUGUCUUCUUCUAUUGGGUUUCAGAUUACAACUAAUAUCUCACCAUCCUUGACUUCCAUUCAACAAGAGAAUGUUUCAGUGCCACCUCUGUCUAAUGUUUCUGAUCUUGAUGGGAUAACUUUUGACCAACGGUAAGGUGAAGAUGUGUUUUGACUUAGUUUUUUGGACGAUAUUGGCACAGAAGUAAAUCCAUUUCAGCAACCUGCAGGCAGUGAAGGUCACAGUUUGUCAGAUGAAUAUUUUCUCCCAUCUAAUCAAAAGCAUCCUCAAAUAAAUUAAUCUGGUGAUGAAAAUCUUUUGGACUUGUUGAUUGGCUCUGAAGAUAAUUAUACUGGUGGACGGAUGCAACAAUCAGAAGGCUUGUUGUUCUUUAUUUACUGCAAUACGAUUUAUUUAAUGAAAACGCUAGUAGAGAUUGACUCAAAGCAGCAUGUAUUCCUAUAGGCUCAGAUAUUGACUUAUAAGUUGUUUUUAGAUUGAAGAUGGCAUAAACUAUGAUUUAGAAACUCUGGUGCGUGCGUAUCUGGAAUGGCUAUCUAGAAUAGUUCCCUUUCAUGUUGUUAUGAUUGGUUGUCGAUGGCCACCAGAGCUUCCGAAUGAAAUAGUUGAAUUAUUUUUUGUAAACUUUGCCCUGAUAUUGGAUGCUUGGUGGUGGCAUAUAUAUAUUUUUUUGUAGUUGGAUGCUUGUCGUAUAAUGUAGUUGGCCAGUAGG
Long non-coding RNA from Diospyros lotus (date-plum), 2019 nucleotides. RefSeq lists it as uncharacterized. The record is from RefSeq and is a predicted model, not a curated record. NCBI's taxonomy places the organism in Eukaryota, Viridiplantae, Streptophyta, Magnoliopsida, Ericales, Ebenaceae. The transcript has 4 exons.